This 253-nucleotide ribosomal RNA is filed under the name uncultured bacterium. Its description in RNAcentral is "partial 16S ribosomal RNA". It matches the Rfam family "Bacterial small subunit ribosomal RNA", at positions 524 to 776 of the family's 1533-position model. The record is from RNAcentral.
GACGGAGGAUGCAAGCGUUAUCCGGAAUUAUUGGGCGUAAAGCGUCCGCAGGUGGUUAAUCAAGUCUGCUGUCAAAAUGCGAGGCUCAACUUCGUAAAGGCAGUGGAAACUGAUAAACUAGAGCAUGGUAGGGGUAGAGGGAAUUCCCGGUGUAGCGGUGAAAUGCGUAGAUAUCGGGAAGAACACCAGUGGCGAAAGCGCUCUACUGGGCCAUGACUGACACUGAGGGGCGAAAGCUAGGGGAGCGAAAGGG